UCAGGGCUCAGCAUGAAGUUGCAGUC
RNAcentral lists this non-coding RNA (26 nucleotides) under Rattus norvegicus (Norway rat). The record is from RNAcentral. Lineage: Eukaryota; Metazoa; Chordata; Mammalia; Rodentia; Muridae.